RNAcentral lists this long non-coding RNA (535 nucleotides) under Heterocephalus glaber (naked mole-rat). RNAcentral's name for it is "lncRNA (ENSHGLG00000041781.1)". The record is from RNAcentral. Lineage: Eukaryota; Metazoa; Chordata; Mammalia; Rodentia; Bathyergidae.
UGGACCUGUCUUAUAAAACUGCGGAGCAGUGGGAGAGAGAGUGCCGCUCCAAGCAGCUUGUGAAGUGACUGGGGUCUGCUCAGUGUGGCGAAGUCUGGGAAGGCUGUGGAACACCACCGCUCCAGUAGCUGUGAAAACAUGAAGACCAAGUGUGAGAAUGUGGUGUUCAACAACCAAAGUUUAGAGACCAGAACUAAAAAGGUAUCUGGGCUAAGAUGACAGCCAGUAUUUUGGCCCUGGCCCUCCAAAGUCAACUACAACAACUACAACAAAAAGAUCCAGGACAUGAAGGAAGCUUCUCCAAGAUCCUACAUCUUUGGUGUCACCCAACCUCCUGAGCAGGGAGGUUGCUGAACACUAAAAUGGCAAGCUAUGGUAUUCUGAGACAUAAUUCCAUUUUGGCCUCCAGUCACAAUUGAGAUCUCAGUGAUCCCAUGAUGCUGUGAUGCUCCAGGGCAAGGCCACACCUGCAGGAGACACACUGGGAGGAACCAAAUCUUCAUCUGCAUAGUUCCUCAUUGUUCUUAGAUUUCCA